This 468-nucleotide ribosomal RNA is filed under the name uncultured bacterium. RNAcentral describes it as "partial 16S ribosomal RNA". It matches the Rfam family "Bacterial small subunit ribosomal RNA", at positions 28 to 507 of the family's 1533-position model. The record is from RNAcentral.
GACGAACGCUGGCGGCGUGCUUAACACAUGCCAGUCGAACGGAAAGGCCCUGCUUUUGUGGGGUGCUCGAGUGGCGAACGGGUGAGUAACACGUGAGUAACCUGCCCUUGACUUUGGGAUAACUUCAGGAAACUGGGGCUAAUACCGGAUAGGAGCUCCUGCUGCAUGGAGGGGGUUGGAAAGUUUCGGCGGUCGGGGUUGGACGCGCGGCUUAUCAGCUUGUUGGUGGGGUAGUGGCUUACCAAGGCAUUGACGGAUAGCCGGCCGGGGAGGGUGACCGGCCACAUUGGGCCUGAGAGACGGCCCAGACUCCUACGGUAGGCAGCAGUGGGGAAUAUUGCACAAUGGGCGGAAGCCUGAUGCAGCAACGCCGCGUUCGUGAUGACGGCCUUCGGGUUGUAAACCGCUUUCGCCUGUGACGAAGCGGGAGUGACGGUAAUGGGUAAAGAAGCACCGGCUAACUACGUG